Molecule: ribosomal RNA, 951 nt
Filed under: Triticum aestivum (bread wheat)
Lineage: Eukaryota; Viridiplantae; Streptophyta; Magnoliopsida; Poales; Poaceae
Description: partial small subunit ribosomal RNA
Source: RNAcentral
AUGCAGCCUUCCAAGAAACUUGCUCGCGUCGACACGGCGGAGAUCAAGUCGCAGCUAGUCAGGAAGCUCGGCCACCAGCGCUCUGAGCUCUACUUCCAUAGCCUCAAGAAGUUCCUGAGUUUUCAGCUAGGCAAGAGCGAGUUUGACAAGAUCUGCGUGGCCACACUGGGGAAGGAGAACAUCAAGCUUCACAAUUUCCUCGUCCAGUCAAUCCUCGGCAAUGCUUAUAUGUCGCUGGGGCCACCGCCCAGCAGGCAGACGCCAACUGGGAAUUCACAGACUAGCGCUGUGACGAAUGGGACAUUGGCCAGUGGCGUGCCGCUAGCAAGGAGAGUGCGGCCGGUGGCUAACCGUGACAAGAGGUUUGCUGAUAAGCCGAGUCCACUCGGAAAGUCCCCUCUUGGACAUCCAGGGGCCGCGGAGUUUGUGUCCGUCGAGGAUGGCGAGGAGGUUGAUCAAGCCAGGGGCAGCCCCGUAUGUGUGCAGAGUCAGAGCCCAAUCAGGGCUCCGUUGGGAAUCCCCCCAAAGGCUCAGAAUUCUCAGCCUUCGAUAUCUUACCCCUUAGAGAUUUGCUAUAAUAAUGGUGAAUUGCCAGGUAGCGAGGACCUGUCAAAGCUACUUGAGAAUAAGCUGAAAGCCGAAGGCCUUAGCAUAUCCGUAGAAUGUGCUGAUCUGCUGAACUCUGGGCUGAACGUGUACAUAAGUCAGAUGCUGAAGUCUUGUUUGGGGGUUGCAAAAGCAAGGGGAAAGACAAUGAGGAUGCCAGAAGCUAACAGGAGUGCCUCUGCUGCUGUAAAUGGUGGGCGGAAUAAUGCCACUGCUUCAGAUUUAGGCUGUUCCUACCAAGCUUCACUGGUAGAUCUCUGCACAGCUGUACAGUCUAAUGCUCGGUUACUGGGGUGUGACUACGCCAGGCAAUACGAGAAGAUUGCUUCCCACCUUGACAGCUAA